AAUCAACUAAGCGUUCACAAAUGUGGUCAAUUUGACACGAACCGCUGUGUCGACAAGAUAAAUCCACGCAGCAAAGACACUGGACAGCGACACAACUGGUUACGAAGUUACAAAGAGUGGCAGCCAAGAAACGUGAUUAUCUUCUGAACAAAUGGUCGCCGACGACAGCUGAAAUUGUGUUAUUAGGAUAAAAGGACUAUUAUUUAAAAACAAAAAAUGAGUUACAUUAUAUUGGAUAUUUUGAAUAUCAGUCAAUUUUUAAGAGCCAAUUACAAGACUGGCGAUAUCUGCAGAACGUAUAAUAUUUAAAGUUUGACAUUUUGAGAUUCGGAACUUCUGUGUACUUCUUUAUAAAUAACAUUCACUUUG
This is a long non-coding RNA of Bolinopsis microptera, 369 nucleotides long. RefSeq lists it as uncharacterized. NCBI's taxonomy places the organism in Eukaryota, Metazoa, Ctenophora, Tentaculata, Lobata, Bolinopsidae. The record is from RefSeq and is a predicted model, not a curated record. The transcript has 3 exons.